UAGGGAAUCUUCCGCAAUGGACGCAAGUCUGACGGAGCAACGCCGCGUGAGUGAAGUAGGAUUUCGGUUCGUAAAACUCUGUUGUUAGAGAAGAACAGCGCAUAGAGUAACUGUUAUGCGUGUGACGGUAUCUAACCAGAAAGCCACGGCUAACUACGUGCCAGCAGCCGCGGUAAUACGUAGGUGGCAAGCGUUGUCCGGAUUUAUUGGGCGUAAAGCGAGCGCAGGCGGUCAAUUAAGUCUGAUGUGAAAGCCCCCGGCUCAACCGGGGAGGGUCAUUGGAAACUGGUUGACUUGAGUGCAGAAGAGGAGAGUGGAAUUCCAUGUGUAGCGGUGAAAUGCGUAGAUAUAUGGAGGAACGCCAGUGGCGAAGGCGACUCUCUGGUCUGUAACUGACGCUGAGGCUCGAAAGCGUGGGUAGCAAACAGG
This 429-nucleotide ribosomal RNA is filed under the name Bacteroidota bacterium. RNAcentral describes it as "Bacteroidetes bacterium partial 16S ribosomal RNA". It matches the Rfam family "Bacterial small subunit ribosomal RNA", at positions 355 to 776 of the family's 1533-position model. Lineage: Bacteria; Pseudomonadati; Bacteroidota. The record is from RNAcentral.